Molecule: ribosomal RNA, 209 nt
Filed under: bacterium enrichment culture clone ALO1_GLFRUDD03FXDTC
Lineage: Bacteria
Description: partial 16S ribosomal RNA
Rfam family: Bacterial small subunit ribosomal RNA
Source: RNAcentral
GAGUUUGAUCAUGGCUCAGAUUGAACGCUGGCGGCAUGCCUUACACAUGCAAGUCGAACGGCAGCACGGGAGCUUGCUCCUGGGUGGCGAGUGGCGAACGGGUGAGUAAUGCAUCGGAACGGUAUCCUGGAGUGGGGGAUAACGUAGCGAAAGUUACGCUAAUACCGCAUAUUCUGUGAGCAGGAAAGCGGGGGACCUUCGGGCCUCGC